CACGUAGGCACCAAGCGUUAUCCGGAUUUAUUGGGCGUAAAGAGCUCGUAGGCGGUUCGGUAAGUCGGGUGUGAAAACCCUGGGCUCAACCCAGAGAGGCCACCCGAUACUGCUGUGACUAGAGUGCGGUAGGGGAGCGGGGAAUUCCUGGUGUAGCGGUGAAAUGCGCAGAUAUCAGGAGGAACACCAGCGGCGAAGGCGGCGCUCUGGGCCGGAACUGACGCUGAGGAGCGAAAGCAUGGGUAGCGAACAGG
This 254-nucleotide ribosomal RNA is filed under the name uncultured bacterium. RNAcentral's name for it is "partial 16S ribosomal RNA". It matches the Rfam family "Bacterial small subunit ribosomal RNA", at positions 524 to 776 of the family's 1533-position model. The record is from RNAcentral.